RNAcentral lists this ribosomal RNA (504 nucleotides) under Enterococcus sp. NTMI17. RNAcentral's name for it is "bacterial SSU rRNA". It matches the Rfam family "Bacterial small subunit ribosomal RNA", at positions 921 to 1426 of the family's 1533-position model. The record is from RNAcentral. Lineage: Bacteria; Bacillati; Bacillota; Bacilli; Lactobacillales; Enterococcaceae.
CCGCACAAGCGGUGGAGCAUGUGGUUUAAUUCGAAGCAACGCGAAGAACCUUACCAGGUCUUGACAUCCUUUGACCACUCUAGAGAUAGAGCUUCCCCUUCGGGGGCAAAGUGACAGGUGGUGCAUGGUUGUCGUCAGCUCGUGUCGUGAGAUGUUGGGUUAAGUCCCGCAACGAGCGCAACCCUUAUUGUUAGUUGCCAUCAUUUAGUUGGGCACUCUAGCGAGACUGCCGGUGACAAACCGGAGGAAGGUGGGGAUGACGUCAAAUCAUCAUGCCCCUUAUGACCUGGGCUACACACGUGCUACAAUGGGAAGUACAACGAGUUGCGAAGUCGCGAGGCUAAGCUAAUCUCUUAAAGCUUCUCUCAGUUCGGAUUGUAGGCUGCAACUCGCCUACAUGAAGCCGGAAUCGCUUGUAAUCGCGGAUCAGCACGCCGCGGUGAAUACGUUCCCGGGCCUUGUACACACCGCCCGUCACACCACAAGAGUUUGUAACACCCGAAG